Molecule: ribosomal RNA, 795 nt
Filed under: uncultured microeukaryote
Lineage: Eukaryota
Description: SSU rRNA
Rfam family: Eukaryotic small subunit ribosomal RNA
Source: RNAcentral
AAUUCUAGAGCUAAUACAUGCAUUAAAGCUCUGACCUCACGGGAAGAGUGCAUUUAUUAGAACAAAACCAAGCGGCUUCGGCUGUUUCUGGUUGACUCAUAGUAACUGAGCUGAUCGCAUGGUCUUGCACCGGCGACGUGUCUUUCAAGUAUCUGCCGUAUCAACUUUCGAUGGUAGUGUAUCUGACUACCAUGGCGAUCACGCGUAACGGAGAAUAAGGGUUCGGCUCCGGAGAGUUCGCCUGAGAAAUCGCGAACACAUCUAAGGAAGGCAGCAGGCGCGAAAAUUACCCACUCUCAGCACGAGGAGGUAGUGACGAAAAAUAACGAGACCGUUCUCUUAUGAGGCCGGUCAUCGGAAUGGGUACAAUUUAAACCCUUUAACGAGUAUCUAUGAGAGGGCAAGUCUGGUGCCAGCAGCCGCGGUAAUUCCAGCUCUCAAAGUGCAUAGAAUUAUUGCUGCGGUUAAAAAGCUCGUAGUUGGAUCUGUGCCAUAGGACGUGGUCCACCUUCGGGUGCGUACUACGCUCCUAGGCUUUUUGCUGGUUUUCCCGUCGUAGCCUUCACUGGUUGCGGCGGGUGGCUGGCGAGUUUACUUUGAGAAAAUCAGAGUGCUCAAUACAGGCGUAUCGCUUGAAUGAUUGUGCAUGGAAUAAUAGAAAAGGAUUUCGGUCCUCUUUUAUUGGUUUUGUGGACUGAGAUAAUGGUUAACAGGGACAAACGGGGGCAUUCGUAUCUCUGCGUGAGAGGUGAAAUUCUUGGACCGUAGAGAGACGCCCUACUGCGAAAGCAUUUG